AGAAGGCUAUGUUAGCCGGGCGACGGUUGUCCCGGUUUAAGCAUGUAGGCUGGUUGUCCAGGCAAAUCCGGAUAAUCAAGGCUGAGGUGUGAUGACGAGGCACUACGGUGCUGAAGUAACAAAUGCCCUGCUUCCAGGAAAAGCCUCUAAGCAUCAGGUAACAUUAAAUCGUACCCCAAACCGACACAGGUGGUCAGGUAGAGAAUACCAAGGCGCUUGA
RNAcentral lists this ribosomal RNA (220 nucleotides) under Klebsiella pneumoniae. RNAcentral's name for it is "partial 23S ribosomal RNA". It matches the Rfam family "Bacterial large subunit ribosomal RNA", at positions 1476 to 1693 of the family's 2925-position model. The record is from RNAcentral. Lineage: Bacteria; Pseudomonadati; Pseudomonadota; Gammaproteobacteria; Enterobacterales; Enterobacteriaceae.